UGGGGGAUAUUGCACAAUGGGCGAAAGCCUGAUGCAGCGACGCCGCGUGGGGGAUGAAGGCUUUCGGGUUGUAAACCUCUUUCGCUAUCGAACAAGGCCCGCUUAGGGUGGGUUGAGGGUAGGUGGAGAAGAAGCGCCGGCUAACUACGUGCCAGCAGCCGCGGUAAUACGUAGGGCGCGAGCGUUGUCCGGAAUUAUUGGGCGUAAAGGGCUUGUAGGCGGCUUGUUGCGCCUGCUGUGAAAACGCGGGGCUGAACUUCGCGCGUGAAGUGGGUACGGGCAGGCUUGAGUGUGGUAGGGGUGACUGGAAUUCCAGGUGUAGCGGUGGAAUGCGCAGAUAUCUGGAGGAACACCGAUGGCGAAGGCAGGUCACUGGGCCAUUACUGACGCUGAGGAGCGAAAGCAUGGGUAGCGAACAGG
RNAcentral lists this ribosomal RNA (420 nucleotides) under bacterium. RNAcentral describes it as "partial 16S ribosomal RNA". It matches the Rfam family "Bacterial small subunit ribosomal RNA", at positions 355 to 776 of the family's 1533-position model. The record is from RNAcentral.